UACAGAGGGUGCAAGCGUUAAUCGGAAUUACUGGGCGUAAAGCGCACGUAGGUGGUUGAAUAAGUUUGAUGUGAAAGCCCUGGGCUUAACCUGGGAAUGGCGUUGAAGACUGUUGAACUGGAGUCGGACAGAGGGUUGUGGAAUUUCCGGUGUAGCGGUGAAAUGCGUAGAGAUCGGAAAGAACACCAGUGGCGAAGGCGACAGCCUGGGUCCAGACUGACACUGAGGGGCGAAAGCGUGGGGAGCAAACAGG
This 253-nucleotide ribosomal RNA is filed under the name uncultured bacterium. RNAcentral describes it as "partial 16S ribosomal RNA". It matches the Rfam family "Bacterial small subunit ribosomal RNA", at positions 524 to 776 of the family's 1533-position model. The record is from RNAcentral.